CUCUUAUACAGUUUUAGCUUGUACUAUUUCGAUAUAAUUUGAAGUGGGGGGGGCGAUCGUUUUGCGCAUAGCAAGCUAGCGGCUAAAGGCGUUAGCCUACAUUUUAGCCGUGUUUAUAUUGUGUAUAUAUGUUUAUAUUAUAUUAUUGUCAUCAUUCUUUACUCGUUUUUAACUCUCCACUGCUGCUGCAACAUCGAGAAUUUCCCCAAUGUGGUAAAAAUAAGGCUCAUCUUAUCAUUAUCUUAUCAUUAUCUUUAUUAUUAUCUUAUCAUUAUCUUUAUUAUUAUCUUAUCAUUAUUUUUAUAAUUAUCUUGUCUUAGCUGAUUGUCAUGCUUAGCUCACCUGUGGAGGGGUGUGUGUGUGUGUGUGUAUUGCAGGCGUCCUGUGUGUUGUGUAAUUUUAAUGUUGUCUAAGAGCCAUGUUGUGUGCUGUUGUGUUCAACAGGAUCCCCCUGGCAUUCAGCUGUACGUGGCCGUGAAGACGGUGGUCCUGAACGGCGUGCAGCUGAAUAAGUACAGGUGUCGACGUGGCAGCAACUCGCUGGAGGGGCUGCACGCGCACCUGUACAACGUCAUUCCCUCCAAGAGAUGUGGGAUCAUGCCAUUCCAGGUGUACCUAGUUGCUUUCGCUGUGCAGUGGAACAACCGGAUGGAAUCCCUCCGGGUGGCUGGUGGCCAGGGUCGGAAGACCACCUGCAUGGACCCCCGGCAGAUCCAGCGCAUGAACCGGCAGGCCGAGGUGCUCUUUGGCAAGGAACACGUGCCGGAGGACAACUUCGCCGCUCCUCUGCCCUACCCUGAGCAGUACCGGGACCCGGAUGAGGAGGAGCUCCUUGGUGUGGAGUACGCCCUGUGCCAGUCCACUGCCUUCACUGCAAGGCAGUACUACGCUCAGAAAGCGGAGGAAGAGCAGUCUCGCCAAGAGGAGGAAGAGGAGGAGGAUGAGCUGGCUGAUGAGGGUGUGGCCAUGGAGGAGGAGGAGGACCCCAUAGACGGUGUCUGUGAGCAGCACGUGGUCCUCACCCAGGCAGUGAAGGUGGAGGAGGAGGACAGCCCAGCCCUGCAGGACGUGCUGGUGUCCCAGCGGAAUCUCCAUCUGCCAGGGAUACAGGAAGUGGAGGUCCUGGCCAUGCUGCUGCUGGAGCUGACCGAUGACGCCGACCACCACCACCUCGUGCCGGUCAACCUGAGGCAGAAGAUCCUCACCGCCGCGGGCUGUCUCCACGAGCACGACCGGACUGCCGCCAACUUCGUCAAGAAGUACGAGUCCAGGUGGGGCUACACCCUGUUUGGCCGUUGCCUCGGACCGGACACCCCCGAUAACCGCGCCGCCCAGAAGACCAAGUUUGGCUGGAUGAGGUACCCUCAGGCUGCACAGGUGACAGAGGACAACCGGCUGCUCUACCUCCUCAUUAAGAUGCUGAGGAACCGCCCGCCCUCCAGCCGCCUUGCCUCUCCCAGCAAGGUGGCCGCCUCCAUCAAGGCACAAUAUAAAAGGAUUGUGGAUCGCGUGACAGACGAUCCCGUCCUCUGCGGCCUCUCCAUCCCACUGCCCAACAUCAACAAUAAGUCCAUCUCCAGCUUCUUCUCUCGGGAGGAGAAGGCUGCCAACUACAGAGCUACGGUGCAGCCCAAAGCCAAGCCCCACCGCACCGUGCUGUCUGACCAACCGCUGCCCGACGCUCUUGCGUUGCCGUCGUCGCUGCCAC
This 1708-nucleotide long non-coding RNA is filed under the name Gouania willdenowi (blunt-snouted clingfish). RNAcentral's name for it is "lncRNA (ENSGWIG00000009721.1)". Lineage: Eukaryota; Metazoa; Chordata; Actinopteri; Blenniiformes; Gobiesocidae. The record is from RNAcentral.